Molecule: ribosomal RNA, 469 nt
Filed under: uncultured Rhodocyclaceae bacterium
Lineage: Bacteria; Pseudomonadati; Pseudomonadota; Betaproteobacteria; Rhodocyclales; Rhodocyclaceae
Description: bacterial SSU rRNA
Rfam family: Bacterial small subunit ribosomal RNA
Source: RNAcentral
GACGGGGACCCGCACAAGCGGUGGAUGAUGUGGAUUAAUCGAUGCAACGCGAAAACCUUACCUACCCUUGACAUGUCCGGAAUCCCGAAGAGAUUUGGGAGUGCUCGCAAGAGAGCCGGAACACAGGUGCUGCAUGGCUGUCGUCAGCUCGUGUCGUGAGAUGUUGGGUUAAGUCCCGCAACGAGCGCAACCCUUGUCAUUAGUUGCCAUCAUUUGGUUGGGCACUCUAAUGAGACUGCCGGUGACAAACCGGAGGAAGGUGGGGAUGACGUCAAGUCCUCAUGGCCCUUAUGGGUAGGGCUUCACACGUCAUACAAUGGUCGGUACAGAGGGUUGCCAACCCGCGAGGGGGAGCUAAUCCCACAAAGCCGAUCGUAGUCCGGAUCGCAGUCUGCAACUCGACUGCGUGAAGUCGGAAUCGCUAGUAAUCGUGGAUCAGCAUGUCACGGUGAAUACGUUCCCGGGUCUU